GUCUUAGUAGCUCAGAUGGCAGGGCACCGGACUAGCGAUCCAGUGGUCGUGGGUUCAAAUCCCAUCCAAGACA
This is a non-coding RNA of Cydia amplana, 73 nucleotides long. Lineage: Eukaryota; Metazoa; Arthropoda; Insecta; Lepidoptera; Tortricidae. The record is from the annotation of a RefSeq genome assembly.